AUACUAACAAUAGAGCAGAGAGCAAAUCAUGAGUGAGCUGCCAUUCACAAUUGCUACAAAGAGAAUAAAAUACCUAGGAAUACAACUAACAAAGGAUAUGAAAGACCUCUUCAAGCAGAACUCCAAACCACUGCUCAAGGAAAUAAAAACGGACACA
Molecule: long non-coding RNA, 157 nt
Organism: Sapajus apella (tufted capuchin)
Lineage: Eukaryota; Metazoa; Chordata; Mammalia; Primates; Cebidae
Exons: 3
Source: RefSeq, a predicted model, not a curated record